This 369-nucleotide ribosomal RNA is filed under the name uncultured organism. RNAcentral's name for it is "bacterial SSU rRNA". It matches the Rfam family "Bacterial small subunit ribosomal RNA", at positions 526 to 896 of the family's 1533-position model. The record is from RNAcentral.
CGUAGGUGGCGAGCGUUGUCCGGAUUUACUGGGCGUAAAGGGAGCGUAGGUGGCUUUGUAAGUCAGUGGUGAAAUAUUGCGGCUCAACCGCAAAACUGCCAUUGAUACUGCUUAGCUUGAAUCACGUCGAGGUGGAUGGAAUAAUACAUGUAGCGGUGAAAUGCUUAGAUAUGUAUUAGAACACCGAUUGCGAAGGCAGUUCACUAGGCGUGUAUUGACACUGAGGCUCGAAAGCGUGGGGGAUCAAACAGGAUUAGAUACCCUGGUAGUCCACGCCCUAAACGAUGUAAACUCGACAUUAGCGAUAUACUGUUAGUGUCCAAGCGAAAGCGUUAAGUUUACCACCUGGGAAGUACGACCGCAAGGUUG